AGAGCCCACCGCGCCGGCGGCAACGCAUGGCGGCACGGUAAACCUCACCGGGAGCAAAACCGAAUAGGGAUGACGCGGCGCUUGACGCCAGCCUGUUUCCAGGCCGGUCAUCCGGGUGGGUUGCGAGAGGCAGCGCGCAAGCGCUGUCCCAGAUGAAUGGCCGCCACGUUCUGCGGGAAACCGCAAGAGCCAUACAGAACCCGGCUUACAGGCCAACUGGUCUU
This 224-nucleotide RNase P RNA is filed under the name Rhizobiaceae bacterium. Its description in RNAcentral is "partial RNase P RNA component class A". It matches the Rfam family "Bacterial RNase P class A", at positions 170 to 367 of the family's 367-position model. Rfam says of the family: Ribonuclease P (RNase P) is a ubiquitous endoribonuclease, found in archaea, bacteria and eukarya as well as chloroplasts and mitochondria. Its best characterised activity is the generation of mature 5'-ends of tRNAs by cleaving the 5'-leader elements of precursor-tRNAs. The record is from RNAcentral. Lineage: Bacteria; Pseudomonadati; Pseudomonadota; Alphaproteobacteria; Hyphomicrobiales; Rhizobiaceae.